GACGAACGCUGGCGGCGUGCUUAACACAUGCAAGUCGAACGGAAAGGCCCUGCUUUUUUGGGGUGCUCGAGUGGCGAACGGGUGAGUAACACGUGAGUAACCUGCCCUUGACUUUGGGUUAACUUCAGGAAACUGGGGCUAAUACCGGAUAGGAGCUCCUGCUGCAUGGUGGGGGUUGGAAAGUUUCGGCGGUUGGGGAUGGACUCGCGGCUUAUCAGCUUGUUGGUGGGGUAGUGGCUUACCAAGGCUUUGACGGGUAGCCGGCCUGAGAGGGUGACCGGCCACAUUGGGACUGAGAUACGGCCCAGACUCCUACGGGAGGCAGCAGUGGGGAAUAUUGCACAAUGGGCGGAAGCCUGAUGCAGCAACGCCGCGUGCGGGAUGACGGCCUUCGGGUUGUAAACCGCUUUCGCCUGUGACGAAGCGUGAGUGACGGUAAUGGGUAAAGAAGCACCGGCUAACUACGUG
RNAcentral lists this ribosomal RNA (468 nucleotides) under uncultured bacterium. RNAcentral's name for it is "partial 16S ribosomal RNA". It matches the Rfam family "Bacterial small subunit ribosomal RNA", at positions 28 to 507 of the family's 1533-position model. The record is from RNAcentral.